UACGGGGGGGGCAAGCGUUGUUCGGAAUUACUGGGCGUAAAGGGCUCGUAGGCGGCCAACUAAGUCAGACGUGAAAUCCCUCGGCUUAACCGGGGAACUGCCUCUGAUACUGGAUGGCUUGAGAUUGGGAGAGGGAUGCGGAAUUCCAGGUGUAGCGGUGAAAUGCGUAGAUAUCUGGAGGAACACCGGUGGCGAAGGCGGCAUCCUGGACCAACACAGACGCUGAGGAGCGAAAGCCAGGGGAGCAAACGGG
Molecule: ribosomal RNA, 253 nt
Filed under: uncultured bacterium
Lineage: Bacteria
Description: partial 16S ribosomal RNA
Rfam family: Bacterial small subunit ribosomal RNA
Source: RNAcentral